ACAGGUGACUGAUGCCUGGUGAGAAGGUGAGCCUGACAUAUAACCCUGUCAGCUGCAAUAAAGGAACCACGAGACAGGUGACUGAUUCCCGGUGAGAAGGUUAGCCUGACAUAUAACCCCGUCAGCUGCAAUAAAGGAACCACGAGACAGGUGACUGAUGCCGAGUGAGAAGGUAUACCUGACACAUAACCCCGUCAGCUGCAAUAAAGGAACCACGAGAC
Long non-coding RNA from Hyla sarda, 221 nucleotides. RefSeq lists it as uncharacterized. The transcript is spliced from 3 exons. The record is from RefSeq and is a predicted model, not a curated record. Lineage: Eukaryota; Metazoa; Chordata; Amphibia; Anura; Hylidae.